RNAcentral lists this ribosomal RNA (489 nucleotides) under uncultured bacterium. Its description in RNAcentral is "partial 16S ribosomal RNA". It matches the Rfam family "Bacterial small subunit ribosomal RNA", at positions 355 to 833 of the family's 1533-position model. The record is from RNAcentral.
UGGGGAAUUUUGGACAAUGGGCGAAAGCCUGAUCCAGCAAUGCCGCGUGUGUGAAGAAGGCCUUCGGGUUGUAAAGCACUUUUGUCCGGAAAGAAAUCCUUGGCUCUAAUACAGUCGGGGGAUGACGGUACCGGAAGAAUAAGCACCGGCUAACUACGUGCCAGCAGCCGCGGUAAUACGUAGGGUGCAAGCGUUAAUCGGAAUUACUGGGCGUAAAGCGUGCGCAGGCGGUUUGCUAAGACCGAUGUGAAAUCCCCGGGGCUCAACCUGGGAAACUGCAUUGGUGACUGGGCAGGCUAGAGUAUGGCAGAGGGGAGUAUAUCCACGUGUAGCAGUGAAAAUGCGUAGAGAUGUGGAGGAAUACCGAUGGCGAAGGCAGCCCCCUGGGCCAAUACUGACGCUCAUGCACGAAAGCGUGGGGGAGCAAACAGGAUUAGAUACCCUGGUAGUCCACGCCCUAAACGAUGUCAACUAGUUGUUGGGGAUUCA